Molecule: long non-coding RNA, 4793 nt
Filed under: Sus scrofa (pig)
Lineage: Eukaryota; Metazoa; Chordata; Mammalia; Artiodactyla; Suidae
Description: lncRNA (ENSSSCG00045006602.1)
Source: RNAcentral
AGGGCCGCAUAUGGAGGUUUCCAGGCUAGGGAUUGAAUCAGAGCUGUAACUGCCAGCCUACGUCACAGCCACAGCAAUGCCAGAUCCUUAACCAAGCAAGUGAGGCCAGGGAUCGAACCUGUGUCCUCAUGGAUGCUAGUCAGGUUCAUUAACUGCUGAGCCAUGACAGGAGCUCCUAUUUUCCUUCUUGCUUCUUCCCCAACUCCUAGCUAUGCCACGGAGAGGGCCCCGAAUACCCCCUGUAAACCAGGACAGGAGACAAUGCCCACAAUACUGGUCCUGCUGUUCCUGAACUUGCAUCUGAGUAUAUACCAUGGACACUAGCCCCUCACAGGCUUCAUUGGAGUUUCUUUAAAAGAAGUGGGUUUAGGAGUUCCCAUUGUGGCUCAGUGGUUAACAAAUUUGACUAGGAACCAUGAGGUUUCAGGUUCGAUCCCUGGCCUCGCUCAGUGGGUUAAGGAUCCGGCGUUGUCAUGAGCUGUGGUGUAGGUCACAGAUGUGGCUCGGAUCAUGUGUUGCUGUGGCUGUGGUGUAGGCUGGCAUCCACAGCAACGCCAGAUCUGAGCCACAUCUGUGACCUAUACCAUAGCUCACAGCAAUGUCGGAUUCUUAACCCACUGAGCGACACCAGGAUCAAAACUGCAACUUCAUGGUUCCUAGUGGGAUUUGUUAACCACUGAGCCAUGGUGGGAACUCCUAAGCUGGGGGCAUUUUUAAGAACCAUGUUUUGAAUUGUUGGAAAUAUAGUUCAAAUAUUAUGAAAAUGAGGAAACCAAAGAGGUGCUGAACUCUUGGGAGGGGGAAGCUGUGGAUCUGGCUGGGCCUCUAAUGAGGCUGGGCCACCAGCUGUGCAGCAACUCCCCUCAUCUGCACCCCACCUACUCUCCACCAACCAAGCAGAGAGAGACAACCAAAUAGAGUAAAACAUGGAAUACUUGCAAGUGUCAACAUGACUGGUGCUUCCAAGCCCCACAGGAGCCUAUCUCCUGUGGCCACACAGGAGGGAGACUUCUAACCAACUGUACAGGGUACACUAAGUCUAUGUAUACAAGCCAUCAUGGACCCUAUUUUCUACUAACCCACUGGAGGAUCACACACAAGUGGCAGUGCUUGAUAGCUCCCCAAACCUCUGCAGUCUGGAGUUCCCGUGUGGUUCAGUGGGUUAAGAACCCAACAUGGAAGCUGUGAAGAUGCUGUUUCCAUCCCUGGCCUCACUUGGUGGGUUAAGGAUCCAGCUUUGCUGCAUGCUGUGGCAUAGGUUGCAGAUACAGCUCUGAUCCGGUAUUGCAGUGGCUGUAGUAUAGGCUGGAACCUGCAGCUCCAAUUAGACCCCUGGCCCGGGCACAUCCACAUGCCGCAGGUGUGGCUGUAAAACCAAAACCUCUCCAGUUCCUGCUUUGUAUGGAUGGGUUAAAGAUGAAAAAGACCAGCCUUGUAAAAUAAUUGAAUGAAUGUCACAGUUAACCUCAUAUCAUCAUUUUAAGUUGUUUUAUGCUCAUUGAUUAUUCUCUGAAAUAGGCCUUCCUGUGGAUAUGCCGCUCACUGUUAAACCAACUGUUAAAAUACAUCAAAUAUUAAGAUCCAACAGAUAGAAGCACAUGAAUAUAAACCAAGAACAGCCCACGAGGGAAUGCAAAUAUUCCCACAGAGCAAAUGAAUACCUGGAGACUUUUUUUCCCCAAUGGGAAGCAAUGAAAAUCUCUCUCUUAAUUAUGUGCUAAAACAGUAACUCACAACUCUCUCUUGCUGCAAAUACAUAGCAGGCAGAUUCUCUUUGAUAAGGAUGCCCAUGGACCCUAAGUACUACCUGUUAUCAUGUGUUGAGUGCCUACUCUGUGUCAGGACCUUGGCCAAAUGGUUUUUAAUACAUUACUUCUUAUCUUCCCACUAAUUUUGCAAGAUAUGUAUUUAUAUUUCCAUUUUACUGAUGAGAAAACUGAGCCUCAGAGAGGUUAAACAAUUUUCCCAAGGCCACAAAACUGGCAAGUUUUUUAGUUGGAAUUUGGACAGUUCUACAUGGUGCCAUAGCCCAGUCUGUAUUUUCAGGAUUCACAUGUGGUCCGGGCACCAGCACUGUCAGCAUCUGAGAGCUUUUAGAGAUUUUAUUAUUUUAUUUUAUUGCUUUUUAGGGCCACACCUACAUUCCCAGGCUAGGGGUCGAAUCGGACCAGAGCCACAGCCACGCGGGAUCUGAGCCGCGUCUUCGACCUGCAGCACAGCUCACGGCAACACCGGAUCCUUCACCCACUGAGCAAGGCCAGGGAUUGAACCCGCAACCUCAUGGUUCCUAGUCGGAUUCAUUAACCACUGAGCCACGACGGGAACUUGAGAGCUUUUAGAAAUGAGAAUCUUGGGUCCCACUUAGACCUACUGGAUCAGAAUCUGUAGUUCAAAGAGAUCACCAUUAAUCUGCAUGCCCAUUAAAGUUAGAGAAGCAAUGUUCUAUAUCCAGAACUAAUCUGUUCCAUAGAAUGGGGUUGGGCAGUCGGAUAGAUAUGCUGAUGCUCAGUGUUGAAAUUAUUUGCUAGGCUUGAUGGGAAGGUGGCUCUGCUGAUCUUCAAUUUUUUAAUUCAAGCUUUCAGAAAAGAAUCUAUUUUUCCUCUGUGCUCAGGGUCACAUACUUAUUAUAUAAAUUUAUGUUGAAGUUCUGUGAUGGAAAUUUCCACGGACAUGAGCAAAUCCCUUUAGAGAGAUGGCUCUGAUAUUUUCCUUACCUGUUACUCUGAUGGAUUAUCUAGAAGCUUGCAAAAGGGAGUUCCUGUUAUGGCUCAGUGGGUUAAGAACCCAACCGGUAUCCGUGAGGAUGCGGGUUGGAUCCCUUGCCUCACUCAGUGGGUUAAGGAUCUGGUAUUGCCACAAGCUGCUGUGCAGGUCGUGGAUGUGGCUCAGAUCUGGCGUUGCUGUAGCUGUGGCAGGGGCCUGCAACUGCAGCUCCAAUUCGACCCCCAGCCUGGGAACUUUCAUAUGCCAUGGGUGCAGCCAUAAAAAAAAAAAAAAAAAGAAAAGCUUGCAAAUGGAAUAAGCUACUCUUGAAACAUUUGGUUGACAAAGAUAAAGCAUAACUCCAAAAAUCAUUUCACCACCAUUCUUCCAAUCCCAAACCUGUGAGAGUAUUGACUUUUUCAAAGAGGAGCUUGGAAAUCAAAUGAAUCUAUAGUAGGUAGAUUAUCUUCUGGCACACAUAUUUCUUCAGGGAGGGAAGAUGGACAGCUACUCCUUGGGUCCUUAGCUUUCUUCCAUUAACUCCAGUCUCUAUGUUUCAUCAGCCAUCAGAAUGACAGAAUGAGCACUUGACUCUUCUCCAUGGCAGCCUAGGAGAAGGUCCAUUUAGUUUGUUCCUGUGGAAUAAAGCGACCAGUAGAAGUGCUUUUCAUACAUAACCAAAACAGAUCAUGCCAACUUUGACAGAAAGAGCACAUUUCUAACUAAUACCUACCUAGAGUCCUCUGGGCUCUGGCUUCACUAAUCUUUCCAGCCUCACUUACCAGCAUUCCCUUUAUCUUCUCCUUUUCACCCAGGCUGUGCCAACCCCAGUGAACUCUCAUGCGCUCCCAACUCCAAGGCUUGGUCCUGCUUCUUCCUCCCUCUGAAAUAUCUUCUCGCCAUGUUUCCUCUUGCCACAAAUCUACUCAUUCUUUACAUGAAAUGUCAGCCAUAUCUUUCCUGAGGGAUGUUGGCUAGAAGUUGUGAACCCCAGAUGACAUCAUUUUCUUCCUACUGAGACACUUACCACUUUCUAUCCUGAAUACUAUUUGUCCGAGACUUUCUCUGCUUAUGCGGCUGACCAUAAACUCCCGGGAUCCUUGUCUAAGGAAAUGGCACAAAUGCCUAAUACAAUAUGUGCCACACCAGGACUCAAUAAAUGAUUCCUUUCCUCCUUCCUGGCUAAUAAAGUUAAACACAUUUCACGUGUUUAGCUGGCAUCUCUGUAUCUUCUUGUUUUCUGAUUGGAUUUUUUAAUUAUUGAUUUGAGAAUUCUGUGUACAUGUUAGAUCUUUUGUUAUUAUCUUACAGGUCCCUGAGGCUCUGCUCAUUAUUUUUUUCUAAUUUUCUUUCUGUUGUUCUGAUUGUAUCAUUUCUAUUGUUCUGUCUUUCAGCGCACUGCUUCAUUCCUUUCUCCCCUUCAUUCUGCUGUUAAGCCCAUCCACUGAGUUGUAAAUUUUGCUUAUCACAUCUUUCAGUUCUAAAAUUCCAAUUUGGCUUUGCUGAGACUUUUUUGUUUGUUUGUUUUUUAGAGAGUCCAAACAGUUCAUAUGAAAUAUAUUCAUCCCCAAAAGAGAGAAAGACAACUUAGAACAUGCAUUCUAUUGAGCUCUGUAUCAGUCUGCUUAGGUUGUCAUAAUGGAAUGUCACAGACUGGGGCAGGGGCUUCUUUAUUUCUCACAGUUCUGGGAGCUUGAAGUCCAAGAGCAAGGUGCCAGCAGGGUUGAGCUCUAGCGGGACUCUCUCCCUCCCUUGUAGAUGGCUACCUUCUUGCUGUGUCCUCAUAUGACCUUUCUUCUACAUGUGAUGAGUGAGAAAUCUCUGGUGAUACUAUUUUUCAUUUGUUUUAAGCGUGUCUGUAACUGCUUGUUGAAGUAUUUUUAUGAUGGCUGCUCCAACACCUUUGUAUGAUUAUUCCAACCCCUUGGUCAUCUUGGUAUUGGUAUCCAUCGAUUAACUUAUUAUUCAUUUGAGAUCAUCCUGGUUCUUGGUGUGCUGAGUGAUUUUCAUUUGAAACCUGGACAUUUUGUGUAUUGUGUUUCCCAUCUCCAAAUCUUUUUAAACUUUAUGUUUUAGCUGGCUUCCUCUGA